GAUGAACGCUGGCGGCGUGCCUAAUACAUGCGAGUCGAGCGAACGGACGAGAAGCUUGCUUCUUUGAUGUUAGCGGCGGACGGGUGAGUAACACGUGGAUAACCUACCUAUAAGACUGGGAUAACUUCGGGAAACCGGAGCUAAUACCGGAUAAUAUUUUGAACCGCAUGGUUCAAAAGUGAAAGACGGUCUUGCUGUCACUUAUAGAUGGAUCCGCGCUGCAUUAGCUAGUUGGUAAGGUAACGGCUUACCAAGGCAACGAUGCAUAGCCGACCUGAGAGGGUGAUCGGCCACACUGGAACUGAGACACGGUCCAGACUCCUACGGGAGGCAGCAGUAGGGAAUCUUCCGCAAUGGGCGAAAGCCUGACGGAGCAACGCCGCGUGAGUGAUGAAGGUCUUCGGAUCGUAAAACUCUGUUAUUAGGGAAGAACAUAUGUGUAAGUAACUGUGCACAUCUUGACGGUACCUAAUCAGAAAGCCACGGCUAACUACGUG
RNAcentral lists this ribosomal RNA (497 nucleotides) under uncultured bacterium. Its description in RNAcentral is "partial 16S ribosomal RNA". It matches the Rfam family "Bacterial small subunit ribosomal RNA", at positions 28 to 507 of the family's 1533-position model. The record is from RNAcentral.